This is a long non-coding RNA of Drosophila yakuba, 18869 nucleotides long. RefSeq lists it as uncharacterized. The transcript has 2 exons. The record is from RefSeq and is a predicted model, not a curated record. NCBI's taxonomy places the organism in Eukaryota, Metazoa, Arthropoda, Insecta, Diptera, Drosophilidae.
AAAAUUGCUAUUCAUUCACAGAAAAAAACUCUAUUUCAAAUAUAUAGUUAUUUUUUCUUUCAAAGUAUAUCGCGCAUACACCGUAAUAAGUAUGUAGUAGUUUUAAGCGUCAUUUCGAAUCAGUUGCAGUAUUUUUCCUCUCUGCAUGCUAAUAUUUGUUCACUUUUUUUUUUUAAUUUGUAAAUGGUUUUGUUUGACUAAUGGAUCUUUUUUUUUUUUUUUUUUUCGAAUAAAUUGUUGAUGCACAGUUGUGUUUUAUAAGGAGAAAUGGAGUGUGUUGAUAGCGAUUAAUGUUUUAAUUUAACACCGAUAAAUGUGGAUUCAGUUUGGCUUAAUGGUACCGAAAACGCAUUGAUAGUUCAAACGUCCAUUUAACCUCUUUAUGCAUUUUUUAAACGUGUAAAUCCGAUUGUAUACAGCGAUUAUUUUAAUGCCGGUAUUUAUUACAUUUUAACAGCUUCAUCAAAGCCCCCUUAAGUUCUGGCACCCGCUCACCAUAUUUUUAAGGCUAUUUGUGGAGGGCAGGGCAUUUCCUUUGGGACUCGGGCUAUGCUUAAUUUAUAUUUAUUUUAUUUUAAAUGUAUGCUGCAUAAAUAAAGGCGCAGGCUCACACAUACGAAUGCACAUUAUCUUUCUACCUCUUUGAGCCCCCGUCUUUCCCCGCUUUCCACGAUUUUCCCUGGUGAAUGCGUGUUGCUUUUCCGGCGCCGCAUAAACAAACAAGCGGUUAAGAAUUAUCGCGAGGCUCUGGGGAGAGCGGCGAGGGAGUGAGAGGUACUGAUAUGAGCCGGAAUAAGAUAGGGCGCAGUGUGGGCGUGGCAGCUCCUGGGCAAUGCGCCCACUUCUCGAGCAAUUAAUUCAUUUCGCCUGGCUAGAGAGAAUAUUGUUGAAAAACAAUUAAAAAUUGCACAAUAAAAUGGGCAAAUUAACAAACACAUAGGAGAGCAUCUCAUAUAUGUACGUAUUUGUAAUGGCUUUAAGUCUUGAACUCGUUUUUAUUAUCCCACUUUUUGUAGCUGUUUUUGUAUUUUUUUUAUUGCUUUGGCCGCGCAAAAGUUAAAAUUAAUAUUUGUUAGCUUGAAAGUUUCUGGCGCUUUUUCGGCCAGCAGAAAAUGUUGAUUUAUGUAAUCCCCCUUUCUCCGAGGAAAAGUUAGUUUUCUGAAUUAUGGCUGCAGAGUAUUGGCCAUCUCCGUCUCGCUUGCACGUAAAUAUUGUCCAGCCUUAUACCAUUACCACCACAUCCCCCUUCAUCGAGCCCCCUUUUACACCUACUCGGUAGAGACGUGCUCAAGUGGCGCCGACAUGAACCCGGCUCCAAAAAUAGCAUCUAUUGGAUAUCGAGAGCAGCCUAAAUUUAAACAACCCACUCGAAAAAAAACGAGAUCAAAGAAAAUUCGCGAUGGGGUGUUUGCUGAUGGCAUAGUGAUUGCAUGAAAAGUGAAAUCAUUUUUGAUAAUUAACGCUGGGGCAAGGGUAUGCUUAGUAUUCAUUUGGAAUCACCUGAAAAGACAGCUUUCCUAAUUUUUCUCUACAAAUGUAGUGUGUGUAGUAAAAUAUUACAUCUGUUGUGCUUAACGCGUGAGCACCGUACUACCGUACAUUAGACGCCGUUUCGGGCAAUUCAAGGCCGAAUUUAUUUGCACAAUAAACAUUAAAGGGCGCCAGGAAGCCGCCAGCGGCCAACCGCCAACCAGACCGUUUGGGGCUCCUCCUCGUUUCGGCCGCAAACAUGUUUGGCAUAUGUGAUGGCGUUUCCUUUAGGCAUGCAUGCGUGCCACCAAACGAUUGCAGACAUCCUCGACAUCCCAGUGUGUUUUAUUUGCACUCGUUAUAAUAUUUCCACGUUAUGUUUGCGCUCCUUUCUCGCUUUUCUUUUUGUUUUCCGUUUCAGAUGGCUUUGCUCAGCCAUGUUGCAUACUUUUGUGCGCGCUGGCGACAGGAAACUGGAGCAGCCGCCUCAAGUGGUCGUCGAUGAUGCCACCCGCCAUCCGCUACCGAUGGCACCCCCUAAACAAGGACCCUUCCUCCACAGACGCCAGCUGAAAAUCCAGGAUACGUUUGGAUUUUUUUGGGCAUGUGUAUGCCUUUUGAAUUUUUAAAUAGGCCACAAGAGAUGACAGGGGGCGCAAGGCAGCGGCAUUGACAGUCGGGCUUCGUUUUGAAUACCCAUUGGGGUAACUCUCUGGGAUUGUAUGGGCUAAGAUCCCAGUUUGGAACGCAACAUGUAAUCUGGAGAUUUUAAAAUAUGCUAUGGCCUAGCUUUGGGAGUUGCACAAGUCCGCUGAAAGCUGGUAGUCUAGUCUGAUUAAAGGUUGGGUAUAACUUUUGUCUGAACCUCCCUUUGGUUUGGGCUCUUCCUUUGGGUUUUUCUGAUUUGACUUAAACUCUCUUUUCGUGCGCACUUCAGACCAAACUCAAGUGGGGCUUUCAAAUGGCAAAGUGAUGCGAGGGGCGGCACUCUGACGAUUGUCGCCGUCUGUGGCUGCACUGUAAUUGCUGCCAUUUGCACGCCUCAGAUCUUGCCAUAUUCUAUUCUGCUGCCGAAUUCCCAACGAGUCGCAACGAUUGCACCAAAUGUGUGCGUGCAUCUAUUAACCAAGAAACAUUUGCGUUUGGAUUUUUAAAGUGCGUCGAGUGUAUGUUUACUUUCCUAAUUGGCGCUCGAUUCAUAGAAUUCUCCAUGUAAAUGCCAGACAUACCAAGUGACUCAUUCAAUUCCACGCACUCAGCUGCUGACCUUCAAAUGGGAUGCGAUUUAUCGAUGAAGAUCUUUAUAAUCACUUCGAAUUGCCUCGUGGCCGAUAAAACAAGUAUUGCCGUCUAAAUUGGCACAAACUGUUUGCGCUCGGUCGAUUUGCACUUGAAAAUGUCAGUGACCCAGAAACCCAGUUACAAGUGAAUUCUCGGCCCCACCCAAAAAUUAAACCACCGACAGUUGCCCGCCAAUGUUUAAACAAAUGAGGUCAUUAUGAGAGCAACGGAGACGCGAAUGGCGAAUGGCAAAUGGCGAAUAAUGGCAGCAGCCAAGUGGCGACAAAGUAGUUAAAGUUUUUAUCUCUCUGGAAAAACUAUAAAAUGGCAAAUGAAAAGUUGAUGAGCAUUGAACAAGGCAACUGCAACUGUAACUGCAAUGCAAUGCAACAGCCACAUCCACAGCCACUGCCACUGCAAGUGCAAGUGUAACAUCCAUUGCAAUUGCCCCUGCAACUGGCAGUUGUUGAGCAACUGAGUGGCAAACUGCUAAGUGAGUACUUGGCAAUUGAAUGCACACGUUCCUCCGAAGACGAAGAAUAAAGGGAUAAUAUCUACCCGAAAAAAGGUGGAUGUUGACAUCCAACGCAAGCACGUUCGCGGCCCCCAAAGAUGCAACUGAUUUCUGGGGCAAUCAGUAAUUAAACGGCUUUAUGGCUGCUGGCUAAGAACAAACUUGUUCCUGGCAACAGAGUGCCAGCGCGAAAAGAUUUCCAAAAUGGCUAAUUAAUGGGGUAGUUUUAGCACAGACAACAGCGUUCAAAUGUACAGAAAGACGUGCCAAUUAAAUAUAUUUGGACAAAGUCCCCUUAUACUUCGACUGCGCCUUUAUUAUAGGUUGGAGCAUAACGGCUAAAUUUCAUUGACAGUUAAGUAUAAUUUGUGUGUCUGUUUAUCAAAUAGCGCCAAAGCUUAAGAAUUUUUCAAGACGCGAUAAUGCGAGUAUACGACUUGCACAAAUCGCCGCAUAAGACUUCUGAAUGGUCCCAGAUCCCCCAAGCAAUCCAUUAUAUGUAGAAGAUCAAACUCGUGACUUUUGGUGGCAAGCUGCCCGUAGAAAGUUUUUCAAUCACUGCAAAGAAUGAAUCAGGUACGAGGCGAAAAGGACGAAGGUCUGAAAAUAUGAGUGCGAAGGGGUCGAAUUCUCUGCGGUGGACAAACGUUGCAUAUUAAAAAGAACUUUCCAGCGAAAACAGAAAAUAGUCAACAACAAAAAGCAUUGCGGUGAAAUACUUGGAUAUUAAGCGCUUGAAACCGAAAGUUGCUGAAAGAGUCGGUUGGCAAAGUGAAAAUAAAACUACACGAAAAAACAUCAAAAAUUGCAUAUAGAAGUUGAGCUUAUUAUGCGCGUAAAACUUUUCGCCGUCUCCGUCAUCGCCGCUUGCUUUUAACUUACUUUGCGUAUUAAGUAAACUUGGCUGAUAAAGUUCCGACCGGGAUAGGAAAUAAAAAAAUAAAAUGCCAGAAGAAAAAAAACCGAACGGAACCACGCGCAAUGUGUGUGACCUCUGAAGAAUCAAGAAAAGUGCGCUUUCACUGCUUCUUUUCAUCAAGUCACCUCAGGUAUGAGUGAGAAAUUGUGCAGAGUGAGAAAUUCGCAGGGAUUUGUGGGAUGAUGAUAUUAAAUUAUUAUAUUGCAAAAGUCUGUUUGGCUUAAACCAGCAUUAUUUAAUCGCAUGCUCUGAUCCAUGCUUACAUGCGGACAACCUAAACAAUCAAAUGGUUUUGAGCACGACAGAUCAUAUGAAUACAUUUCAUACCGCCUUUCUCCAUCUACAUAUGUACAUAUACUUGGAGAAAUGUUCUACCCAGCUAUAUCGUCCUUUUAAGUCAUUUUUUUGCUCCUCUCUCCCCUGGCGUUUUAUUUUGCUUUUAAGUGCUUGAAUAUGUCUUGUUAAGUAAGCAGUUAGUUUUUUGGUCUCACGUUGUCCCUGUCCCCGUCCUUGUGCCACCCCUAUCCCCUCUCCACCUCUUCCAAGCCCCUGGCAUGAAAUUUUUCGCAAAGAGUUUCCACCACCCCCUCAGGCCUACGAAUUUUCCUGGCCAGCAAGUUUCAACUCCUGCACCGCCUGCAAGCCAAAAGUUACAGCAUUCACUCUCCAUUUUUUUGCUCCUCGCUUUCUUCAACUUUUUUUAAAGUUUUUUUUUUCUUUUUUUUUUAACCAAAAGUUGUGUUGCCUCUUAUUUUUCUUGGUUGGCCCUUUCUGGGUGUGUUGUUCUUUUUUAUUUCUCAUUUGCGGCGCUAGAAACUUUAAACAAACCCGAAAAGUCAGCUCGGUUAGGAGCCAAUGGGUGGGUGGGCAGUUAGGAAAGAUGAGUUGACAUAAGUAAGCCUAAGAGUGUUUCCCCAGAAUCUUCCGGAUUAGAGAUGCCAAUGCAGGGGGAAGGCUACGAAGAGAAACGAGAAAGCUUGACUUUCUAUAAGUUCGAAACGGUAAAAGCAAGUGGUUAGCCGGUUAUGUUGGCAGCGACUUGGAGAGGGAUUUAAAGUCACUUCAGGGAUCAAGAAGUAAUUCCCGACAGGAUAAGUUCACAUCGUAACUAAUUGAUGUGCAUACAUUUUGCACGAUAACAUAUCGAUUUGUUGCUAUCGAUCCUUCUAAGGGGCCAUUCUAAAUCGAAAGACCUUCGUAUGGUGCUUCUAUUUUCAAAAUCAAUGCACGUAAAGUGAGCAAUUAAAGUCCAAUUUGAAAGGUUUCAAGCAAUCGUUAUCGAUGGCCCUUGACCAAGUUUUCUUCUCGCUAUUUCGUUCGCUCUUUUCAUUAUUUUCCCUCUAUUUUCGUGCAAUUUCCCCUUGAUUCUUGCGCUAUUGCCUUUUCUCUGUGGCGCCGAACAAAAGUUCAAUUGCAUAAAUUAACCAAAAGCACACACAUCUACACAUAUAUUUCACAUUCCACAUUCUACGUUUUGCUGCCACACAGCCACAAAGCAUUUGCUUCUUCUCCAUUAUUGAUGCAUUCAAUGACAAUUCGUAGGAUCUAUGGGGAGAUUGAAUGGCUGGAUGGAUGGAUGUGGAACUGGCAAUGGAAAGGGUUGAGUGGUUUCGCUCGCCAGUGAACUCAUUAAAAUGCCAUUUAAUUAAUCAUCGCAGCGACGACGGCAGCGAAGCCAACCAAAUGCUAUAAUUCAACGCUCUUCUCUAACUGUUAUUGGGGUUUCAAGGGGCGCGAGCGGCUGUCCAGAGGGAGCUUCCAAGGGGGAGUGUCGUAGGGGAACUAUGUGGGGUAUAUAUGGGUGGCUGUAUACCGUGGUCGAUUGAUUCAUGCUCCGCUUGUCCGCUCAUUAAACAUUGCCCAUUGCAGCUGCGGCAUCAUCAGCAUUAUUAUCAUCACCGCUGCAUAUCAUCAUCCGCAUCAAACGGGGUUUAUCACCGACAUAUAUACCAACCAUCAACAGUUACUUAGUUUUCCCUCCUUAGAGGAGGGUGCUUUCUGGCAGUGUGAUUUCAGUGAAUCAUACUUCUUGUUUUUAACCCAGAAACUUAUUAUGGCUCCCCACCCUUAAGUUAGUAGCUUAUCUUCUCCAGCAUCUUAGGCCAUCCGGUUCCUUUCUAUACAUUUCCCGAGUAUUGGGGCGGGGACGUGGACAAUUCCAAUUAACUGAGCAACUUUUCGCUCAAUUGAAUAUCUUUGAAGUGCACUGGGAGAAACCAAGUUCUUUUAAGUAAAGAAUUUAGUUUUGACUAAUAAAUAUACCACGUAUAUUCACUAGGUGUAAACUUUAAAAUCUAUUUUCCAUUUAGAAAUAUUUAAUAAUAUUUUUGUGCACUUUUUUCGGAAGUGAGGCUCUGUAGGCUUAGCCCAUAGGCAGUCAACGUUUUGCACUGGCCAGUUGGAGAGAUGAAGCGAGCUAUCAAUCAGGUUAUCAAUCAAAUCCGCCGGCCCAUUUUUCCCUUUCCCCUUCUCUGAUGAUCGAUUUGUGCUAGACUGCUAGAUUUCUGGGCUACCUGCCCACUGCCCCGCCCACUUUGCCGGACAGCUGGCGAGCGUUUUCCACCGCCUUUUUCCCUGACUUACCCGGGGGAGUGGAUUUCGUCCCUCUAGCUGCAAAUUAUGCAGCCCGACGGGGCCAUCGAUCAAAAAUUCGUACGCAGGAGCAGCUGGUUCGGAUUCCUAUCUGCGGCUCAUAUUUUUUGCAGUCAUCAAUUUGGUCUUUGAUUUGCCUCGCUUCUCACUAUUCGCUUUUCCCUUUUUUCCUACGUAUUUUGUUUGGCCGGUUUUAAUUCUUGGCUGCAACGUUUGCAUUUGGGAUUUAGGCCUCGGAAAGGGGGCGUCCGGUAUUCGAUAGUAUAUGCUCAAUUGAGCCACCAUGAUGGAUGGGUGGUGGUGGAUUGGAAUAUAGGUAUAUUGCAGGGGCCAUAAGUCUAUCUAAAUAUAACAGAUGAGCCAUACCCUUCUGAUUUCGAUUCUCGCUCUCGUGUGUCAAUUUGCAUUCAAUCGCAAUUUCAAAUUGACUUUGAGUCUAUAGUGUGGUAUAAUAAACUUCUAAAUUGCACUGAGUUGGGAAUAGACCUAACUUUCAAUUUAUUCUAAGGCCUUAAAAUAAAGUAGCCAUUUCAAUUGUGCAAAUGUCCUUUUUAAAUUGAACUUCUAUUUUAUAGCUGAAUAAAGAAAAAAUGACAUUUUAUAUACCGUUUAAUCUGUUCAUAAAUAUUCUUCCUACACAAAAUAGUACAACUCAAAUUCAAAUUCAGGCGACUGAAAGCGAUUCGUUUGAUUGAUUCAGUUAUUCCCGUGGGGCCCAUAUAAUUGCUUAUCAACUCGGUGGAUGGCCAAUAAAAACGAAAUCGACGACUAUCAACAGCGAAAUGGCCAAAACAAUGAGCGGGGGCAUCGUAUGCAUUAACAUUAAUGUCUUUUCAUUUGCAUUACCAAAGUUGCAGGCGGGAAGACUGGGGAUGCUGAAUGGGGUUAAGUGUUUCAGUACAGAGACAAUACGAGUAACAAAAAAAAAAAGAAACAAAAAAAGAAACACAGAAACUGAGCGUAAUAAACCCGAUUUUCUUACUGUCUCCAGGCCCAUUCUCAAUUGAUCGAAAUAUAUUCUGUACAUAGAGCAUUUAUGUUCUCGGUCUAUGACACUCCCUGCCCCUUUUCCCAUAGAGCUAAAUUAACACCAUCACACAAACUAAUUGACUUCAAUUAAAACAAAUAAUGCCAGUGCAGACUGCAAUAGUUGAAUGCUCAGCGUUCAAUGCUACAUAGAUGUUGAACGGAAUCUGAACCGCAACGAGUAAAUAUUUCUGUUCCACUUAUACCACACAUACCCUGUAAUCGGCCAGGUAAGGGGGUAUAUUUAAGCACAGAUUCUGAAGAAAGACAAAUCAUUUUCGCUCUGUGCUCACAUGCUAAAAUAUCCAUAUAUCAACAUACAUUUUUUGUACUAUAUUAUCACAUUUAAUGUAAUUUGAAUACUCGGUACCAAUCAUUCGAAAUCUUCACCAUCGAAGUUAUCUUUACUUUUCGUUUCGAACUCGCAAAAACGUAAACAUGUAAACAACAACUUUUUGAAAGCCCCCAGCUUUGUUUAGCCCUUUUCCUUUUCAUCGUUUUUUGAACUAUUGUAGAGAGCAGAAAUAUAGAUGGUUUCAGAUAUAAACGCAAACAAUUGAUCCUGCUCCAUUUGUUCAUUUGGAAUUCAUUUAAUUUGGUGGCGUAAGUUAAUAUAAAAAGGCUUACAUAUAAAUACGAAAUGCAGGCCACAAAUCAUGUAAAAUGUGAAACAAUAUGUUGCUACUAUUCGAUUCCAAGGAAGGUUGCAUUGGGUAAGUUGCGGCAAAGGUUGUGGGAGUCGAAAUGAAUUCAAUUGUCCAUUAUAAUUAACAAUUUCAUGUGGUUUUAUUGUGCCUUCUCGUUUUCCUUUGUGGGUGGGAAGAUCGGAAAUUGCUAAGUUAAUGAACAUUGAACAUCAAACACGAAAGUCCAAUGCAAGUGGAAAAUUAGAUCAAGUCGGUAGUCGGUAAUGCCAUUUGUCAGUUUUAGUUGACGAAUUUAUACACAUUGAAACGAGCAUCAAAUCGAUUGAAUGCCAUUUGUACGGAAAUAGUUUGUUUAAUUGAAUCGCAAAUUGAAAUUGAUUGAGUAAUAGAAAUGGAGGGCAUGAUGAACAUUGCAGGGAAAGUUAAAUGUGAAGAAAUAUUAGACUGCUGCAAAUUGUUGAGAGCAGCAAUUGCUGCCUUGAUUGACUAAGCAAGUGUUAUUGUGUAACUGUGGAUGGAAAUUCGAAUGUUAUUUCACUGCAUAGCUACGAGUAAACUAUUCAAGAAUUCAAAGAAAAAAAUGCAAGUGCCCUUCAAGACACUUUAGUUUUCAAUGUGUGUUUGCAUAGUAUUGAAGGGUAUAGUGACUGCAAAAACUCUUGCGGUUUUGUGUUGCUCUUCCUGUGGGUCGUGUGGGCGCAUUAAAUAUUUAAUUAAAUUCGGCCAAAAAGCCGCAGCAGCCGUCUAAGAAAGUAACCAAAUGAAAUGCCUUUUGCGGCUGCCAUUGAAAUGAAAUGAGCGAGCGACUUGGAGACCCCGAGCCCUUGGAGUCUGAGCCUGAGUCUCAGUCUCAGUCUGGAACUGGUAGUGGAAGUGGAACUCCGACAUGGAGACUCCGACAUUCGACCCCGAACUCUGAAAAUGCCACUGACAAGCAAAGGAAAUUUAUAGCAAAAAUUUAUGUACUUAUUGUUGCUGCUGCUACUGCUGCUGUGGCAGUUGCAGUUGCCGCCGUUGCCUCUGAUGUUGCUGCCGCUCUGCGGCUGAUGUUGGUUGUGUGGGAACGACAGCCGCCGCAUUUGCAGAAGCAUCAGUGGGCUGCGGAGGAGGAGGGGGUCAGCGUCUACGCAAAAUAUUUGCAUGCUGUUUAUACUUUUAUUGCAAAUAUCUCAUUCGCCAGUUCUCGCUCCCUUCCAAGUUUUUUGCCCGACAGCAGCCCCCAAACAGACAUGUGUCAAAGUUUGGGACACUGGCUGCUGCCCGAGGGCCGUUUUUACACCGAGCAUAAACAGAGAUCCAAGAAAGGGAGUAAAUUUAACUUUAAAAUGUUGCUUUGUAUCGUAACUCCUUCGUUAAACUGAGUAUUUAAUUUAAUUGUUAAUAUACCUUCUGUAUUUGUUCAGUUCGGGAUAAGACACAGCCCUUUAGACCAUUUCAGGGACCACUUUUUGCAGUGCAAAUAUAUAUGUUCAUGUUUUUGAACGUUGCCCCGCUCCGAGGCUCAUAAAUCACUUGUCAAAAUGUGCUGCGUCUGGUCCCGGAUUCGGAUACGGAUUCGAGGUCUGGGCUGGGGUCUCCACGGCAGUUCCAUCUGCAAAGCAGCCCCAACUGCGAUCCUCGGCAGCUAAUUCCGCCUGAUGCUUUUGCACCGAAGCAUGGAAAAGGAGGAGGGACUUUCGGUUAUGCCUCAUUUAAAUGCGGCAACUCUGACACUUUUUCAGACCCAACUCCUCCCGAAAAAAAGAAAAACUUUAAUUGUAAUAAAUUUGCCACAUACUUGCGUGCGUCGGUCUGAAGUUUUAUCUCCCCAGUGUAAUGAAAUGCUAAACAGACAACAGACACUUGUUGCCGCCCCCUCUUUAGCUUUCGGCCACGCCCAUGGGCACCCACAUGGCAGACGAAGAGGGGGUGAACUAACUAAAAUAAGAGCCGAGAACACAAAGGAUAGGACACUUUUAUUUUAUGACACAUUUUGGGCUGUCUGUAUAUACAGUCAAGUGCGGAAUAAACCAUUAGGUCUUCAACUUGAUGGAAGGCAGUCAUAAUUGAUGCCAAGUUGAUAGGCAAUUGAGUGCGUUGGGGUUUUCAUGUGAAAUGAAAAUGAAUGAUGGGAAAACGGUGGAAAUACCCCAUAUUUACUUUCAGUUUAAUUGCUUUUCAUUGAAUUGCUAAACAGAAAAUGAAACUAUGAAAAUUUGUUUACGUACUGCGUUCGCCAAUCGAGUAUUUACAAUAUUUGGAUUUGAAAUAACACUGUGCCCUAAGACAAAUACCACCACUAGGUAAUUAAUUAAAACCAUUGAUAAUUAAACACUGGUUAAUUUUCGAAAUCGGCUCAUGGCCUGGCUUAAUUAUUGUUAUUUGAUUUACAAGCACAAUGUGCCCGCUCCAAUCAAACCAGUCUAUUGAUUGUUAUUAUCACGAGGCAGCAGGUUAAAAUCUGCUGGAAACGGAUUGAUUCGAAGGAUAAUGGAGGCUCUCAGCAACUUCAGUUUCCCAGCUCUCGAGUGAGUUGCCUUUCAAUUGGGCGAUUGAAUAGCGCAGAUAGCUGGCAUUUGAGCCAUUGAAGCCAUAAGCACCACAUUAUGCCGCCUCUCUUAUCAUCGCUGGAAAAUCUCGUACUCGCGGGGAGUCCAUUAAUUGGGCCACACACACACACACACACUCACACAUGGGUCGGAAAAGUGGUGAAAAGCAGCGUGAAAGCAGGAAAAUGUCUCAUACAAAAGCUUCCAUCUGAAUGCAGACGUUGCAUGGCUUAAUGGCAUAAGCGCAGCUACCGAAGUGCUACUUAAGACGCUUCUGGAUACCUUUCGCCCACCCACCUGCCUCCUAGAUGCAUAGAUAACUGCCGGAUAGCUCCUCCUGCCAAUCCAGGCAUUGAGCGAAAAGGAUUUGCCAUCGUGAACCGACAGCUACUGCACCUCCUGCCUCCAAUUCCCACUCUGACUUCGACGUGCCGGCGUCAAUUGAGUAAAACAAAGUGCGAGAGACCCGAGGAAGUCCCCAGUCUUGACAUUCUCUCCCCUCCGCAGAACAGGACCACGUGUGUGUUCUCCAGCAUCCUGUCCUACGCACUGCGAGAAAACCAUUGGUGAGGGAGCUCGCGCUGAGUAAAUAAAUCGUGUGAAAGGAAGUUGGCGAUUUCUCCAUAUUGUAUGACUUCUUUCAGUGUACUGUCACUGCUUAUCCUGCGCAUGCAUCGCUACACUUGCGUUUUUUUCGCCCAACUCGACACACUCGCUUCUUUUCCAUCUUUUCUUUUAGCUCCCUGCUUGUAUUUCAUCAACAGCGCCUGCAUAAUAUGGCACUGCAUUCAUUCCGGUUUUCCCGCUCGUUUUGCCCCUUUCGAUUGGGAUGUGCUGUGCUGUGAUGUGAGUGCCCCAUGCAGAGUGUGGCGCUAUUAACACUUUUGUCAUUAUCGGGCAAUGGGCUGCUGCAGUGGAUGCCUUCAGGAUCUGCAGUUUUACUCCUGGAGUGGGAAACACCAUGCCGCACACCAUCCAUCCAUUCCUCCUGCUUAAACGUUGCGUUACGGUUAAUGUUACUCAGGUGAGAGGCACGGAAAACGGAAGUCUCAACUUCCGUUUGUCGCUUCUCGUUUCUCGCUUCUUCCCCUCGAUGAUGAAGCCAUUUGAUAUAAAUGCUGGUGGCCAGCCCUCCAGGUCCUCGGCAUCCCCACCAGUAAAUCGCCCUUCGGACUCCCAACCCAUUCCGCAUUCAUGUGCUCCUCUGGACGUGGCAUGCGUAUUCAAGUGUAAGCGAGUUGAAGUGUCAUUUGGAAUUUGGAGCACGGUUUUCCACCACUGGGCGAAAUGGGGCCGGGGGAGGAGGGGGUUCUACGGAUUGGUCCUCUGAUUAGGGUUGCUGCACUGCCUCACAAUGGCCAUGGAAUGUGACAUGACGUGUACAAGUGCUGCCAUCCCAACGGAAGUAGCGUGCACAGAUACUUUUCAAAGGAAGUUCAGAUACCAAUGGAAAUUUAGGUUACUUUACAAGGGCCAGAGAAAAUGGAUCCUAGAGUUAAGGGCUCAAAAACGCUGAUGCUGACAAGGAUUCCAUUAAUCGAGCAGCAAUGUAGAAGUAUUAGUCUAAAUAGUGCACUUAAUUAGGUGUAAAUGAUUAUAGCAAAUUAAUCGAAACAAUUGAAUUAAUUAUGAGUUCACUAUUUACGUAUUUUCCUUAGAACACAAUUUCAAUUCUAGAGACGAAUAGAGGUGAAAAUCGUUAAAAAAUACCACCACUCCGAUAGCGUAAAAUAUGUUACUUAAACCUCCAACAAAUACAAAUGUGGCUGGCAAGCAGACUGCAAUCGGACUUUAAGAAAACAAAAUAAAUUUGAAUUUGCAUCUGUUUGGUAACCACUGGCGAUAUGCAGAUGCAUAUCGAUAUCCAAUAUACAUGCGUACAAAUAACCAUUUCCGCGUUCGAGGAUGCCGGAAAAAAAAGUGAGAGUGAGCCACAUGAAUUAUUUAUCGAUUGUCUGCCCACCGCACUCUUCCGUUCCCGCUUAAUUUCAUAUGUAAUCGGAUUCUGGGCACGGCCAUCGGACUUAAGACCCCCAAAUGCAGAAAAGGGAACCGUUCACGCACAAUCGAUAUUUCAUAUGCAUGGCGUCUGCUCUUUUUUCUGAAUCUGGUUUUCCAAAUGGUUCUACACUGACAACAAAAUGGUCAAGAAAACACACAUGCAACUCGAGUUUUCAAGAAAUAUAUUCUCACAAGCAAAAGGUUUAGGGAUGUUCAAAGAAUAACUGGGUAACAGUAAGUUUGUGUAAAUGAUCUCAAUUUUAAAUAGAGAACGAGAAUAUUUGACUUAAUAUUUGCAUUUCAAACAAUUUGGAAUUCCAAAUUUACCAUUCUUGGUAAAAAUUUCUUUUUUGAGAGUCCCAUUUACAGCAUACUAUAAUUCAUUUUUGACUUUUUACGUUUGGAAUUAUCUGCGCUUAAGAUUUAUGCACCGAAAUUGUGUGUCAAUUUACUCCGUCGAUUCCUCAUGGACCCGCUGCGUCGCUUCCGCCCCAUUUUUCCCUCAUUUUCCUACCGAUUGUCCCCCUCUUUUCAACCCACACAUGCAAAGUAGGGAGGAAAAUUGCCGGCGUCGUUGUCGCAGCGGCCCAAUGAUGUGGAAAAUGUGAAUUUAUAUGUGAACAGCAGCAAGUACGCGGCGGCAUAAGUAAUAAAAGAAAAAACGGGGGGACGAGGAGCUGCGGGGCUGGGGAAAUCGACAGGAGUUCUCCCUGGUAUUCUUGUCACUGAUGCCAGUAAAGAUAAUUUUAACGAUCUCGAUAAACUUCAAUUUCCAUUGGCAGCCAAGAAGAACUCUCGGACCGGACCGGCCAUUUAUGAGGUACUUUUUCGCUUUUCUCUGCCUGCUUUCCUUUUUGUCCUGGCCAUUUUUCAUAAUUUUUCGAAUGGCGUUUAACUGUGUAACACUCUGUAAAUGAGAGGACAAGAGCGAUGACGUCAAAAAGAGGUGUCACACCAUUCUGAUUGAGUCCCCGGGCGGUGCAGUCACCGUUUCGAUAAUAAUAAUUCCUUAUUGCGUUGCCACCGAAUGGCAAUUGGAUUAUUACUGAUGCGGUUGUCGCAGGACAAGGAAAAAAUCUGCAAUUGAAAGCCCUGCGAUCCUUAAUCUCUUAUGCUGUGUAAGAGUGGUCGGUCAUAAAUUGAGUGUAAGCUGCUCUAGUGUGAAUUUAUAAUUCAUUUUUGGAAAAACUGUAAUUCGCUUAACAAAUAUAAUACAGAUCAUCGCAUAAUUCCCAAUUUUAAUAAAUAAAAAAAAAAUACAAAUUCCAAACAAAAUACGUAAUACACAUCCUCGAAUUGGUUACAAAUUCUCGCCUACUGACACACAAACUGAUACCUUCGAAUGUUUGCAUUUUUGCAUAACGCUUCGAAUCUGUUUGCAAACGGAGGAUUUUCUCAAUUAUUUUCCAUUUUCCGCAAUUCCAUUUUCGGCUUAUCAAUUGCAUUCGAAUUCAAAACGACAGUGGCAAUUAAAAGUGAACCAAGUAGAGCUAUGAAAAAUCACGGCCAACAAUUCGUUGGUGGUUUGCAAUCAAAUCAGAUUCCACUUUGACCAGGGCAGUAGAAAGGACUACAGAAAAAAAAAACGAACAUUCAACAUUCCGUAGUUAUUUAAUGGGUGCCGUUUGCGUUGUGGUAUUCAAUUCAUAACCACGUUCCAAACGGAAUAUGCAUUUGUUCAUGCACUGUCCGAAAAUCUAGGUAACAGAAUGGACACAAACAUUUGUUCAAAACAAUAUCAAAACAGAAGGCAUCAGCAAAAAAAAAUUGGGAAAUUUUUUUAAAUUUUCUUUAAUUUUAAUAAAAAUGUAGCCAAUGUUUAGUUAGUAAACUUAAGUUGUAUUAUUUUAGCCGUUUAGUUUCAGUGCUUAUUUAUGCUGAAUGCACGUUUAUCUGCCCACAUAACUGUAAGCCCGCCGGCUAUUUGGGAUUUUUUAUUACAUAUGCGCCACUUUUUUGUUUCAAAUGAUUUUUAUUUCGAUUUCAGGAAAAAAUGGUGAAAAUUGAAGGAUCGCGGAAUGGCAAGAGGAAACAGGAGUCAAUGGCAGAGGGUGAUGCCGACAAUAUUUUCAAUAGCUUUUCCCCAGCGGUUCCUUUUAUUUUGAUUUUAUUAUUUAGACUGUCUGAGUCUUUCUACAUUUUUUUUACCACAUCCCUAUCUCUUGUUCUCACGAUUCUUGCUCCUUUUAUUUGUCUGUAGUGCACAUUUUUCAUGUCACUAAAAAGGUUUCCUCGAUUUUCCCCUCGAACCAAAAUGCCAUUGCACGGCUUGCCUGCCUGCUACUGCAUAACAAUUUACCCUAUUUUUGAAUUUUCCAUAACUUUUUUCCUAUUGUAUUGUUUCCCAAAUUGGUAAGUUUAUUUUGGGGGAAUUCAAUUGAUGUCCUUCAAUAUAAUUUUUCGAUUUUUUGUUAUUGAAACCACGCAAUUUUUUUUCGAAAGAUUUAUAGAUUGUAUUAAUAUUUGCAUGGGAUUAGAUACUCCAUUUUCUCUUCGCUUUAUUUUAUAGGAUUUUGCAGAAUACAUUAAAAGCAAAUUAUCAGUCCCAUGCAUUGAUGUGCAUGAUGUGAUGUAUAGAAAAACUUAAGAACUUCCGAAAUGGUAUAGGGAUAGGGUAUUUCUUGGAUGCUCCUUCGUUCUGGCUGAAUCUAACAGCAUAUAAAUAUUGGAUAUAUUGAAAAGGCCAGAGGAAAAAAGAAAAACAAUGUGUAUGGAAAAACAUAUUCCCAUAUAUGCGCUCGUAUCUGUCUGCUUUAGUUUGGAGGGUCGUAGGCACCUCGAUCCCCGGGCAUCCCGUGCCCCUGUUCCACUUUAUUGCUCCCCCAUCGCCACCGGCUGCCAUUUAAUAGCAUGUGUCAAGUGCAUUGAAAAAGUCUAUUUACGUUGCAAUUGCACUGUCAGUGGCAGGCACCACCCAACCCCACCCCCCACCAGCCCCUUCCGGCACCACUGGCAACACUUUGCAACACCACCACCUCCACUUCUGCCGCCCACAAGCCUUUUCCUUUAUGCCACGCCCAGCCAUUCCGAUUUCUGUUGAUGAUUUUGUAUUUUUAGGAUUUUUAGCCAGCAAGAAUAGUUGCAAACAAAAAAAUAACUUCAACGAAAAUACAUAGAUAACCGAAAAACAAAGGAGGCACGAAAAAAAAGGGAAAGAAAAUUAAAUUUGAUAGGGAAAAUAUUGUUUUUGCGGUUUGGCGAAAAAUCAUUUUAUUUCGAAUGGUGGAAAUUUGUGGUUGAAGUGAAAUUGAUAUUUCAUAAACAAUAAAGGUAGCUCUAUCAGGGAUUGCCGGUAGCAGGGAUACCCAUAUUCUAUACCGGUAUACCCACGAUUUAUUGAUAAUCGGAUAGAGUUGCCAGGCACGCACAUGAAUAAUGGCAGUUCACCGCCUGCUUUUGUUCAAACACAUUUCGCAGUCCAUUUAAAGAGCCCUGAAGUGGAGGAGCAUUGGGUGUUCUAAGACGGGUGCUGCAGCUGGCAACAAUUUUGCACUUAAGUGAGUUUUCUUCCCCCAGCCCCAAGUGUGUUUACGAAAUAUAAAAUUGAAAAUCAAAUUAUUAUACAAACUAUAAACUAUUUUUCUUCAAGUUCCCCGGGGGGAAAAGUCAAGCGGUUGCCAUCACGUACCUGCAAGGAAACAAAGGGGAAAAUGAAUUGGUAAAAUUGUUGAUUAUUCGAGCAAAAGUUAUGAAAAUCAAAGUAAAAGCCAACGCACAAAAAGCAAAACCAGCGUCCACAUGAUGUCAUCAGCAAAUGGCAAGGACGAACUUUCACUUUUCCCUCCCUUCAAUGUAUGCUGUGAUUUCGUUUUCACCCCCCUUUAUUUUUCUUAUUUGGUUUCCAGUAAUUGACAGUCGUGAUUCAGAUGCAGUCGAGAGAUAAAAACUUUGCGCGCAUCCCCACCAAAAACAAUCAUGACAUAAAGUCACCCAAAAACCACCCAACACCACCCAACAAACACUCCCCACUCACACACAACUUCCUCUAGUUUUCGGCAAGCAAUGUUCGUUAUGAAAACUGAAAAUUUAUGGCCAAAAACCAAGAUAGUAAAGUUGCCUUGUGCUGUCACUUUCCCUAACCUCCGCUCAUUUUCCUAUAAUGUAAAUAAACUUAAAUUGUAUUAGGACAAAGUUUGCAUCGCUCAUUCUUUCAUUUAAUGGCCCACUUAAUGUUGGCACAUUUUAGGGCUUAAUGAUAAGAUCACAUCUUUGGCUGACAUAUCAUUUGUGUUGUUUUAAAUUAAAUGUUCCUCACUGGCACACAAAAGAAAUGCAUUAAGUAUAGUAAAGUGAAUCCCAAGCCGAGUUUAGUUAUACGUAGAUACAAAAUGUUGGAUCAGCACAAUGAUUUCACCUACUUAUGAAUUCAUUACACUUCAAAGAGAUGUCAACGCCAUUUGCUCGCUUGCCUCUCAUUGAUUCGAGAUUCCGAUGCGGAACUUGCCACUUGACACAUUGCAAUUCCUCCAUCCGUAUCCUUGUGAAUCCCUCUGAAAGACCCACACCCAGAUCACCCUAAUUUCACCAUCAAGCUCUGUGUAUCGACCCCUCUUGACUGCCACUAAAUGGGUCAACUUGUCUUCUUUAGCCGCACACACAAAACGGCCAAUUGUCACUGAGUUUGAGAACAAUUUUGUGGCACAACGGCAGUCGGGAACUCAGCCAGAAGCUCUUUUCGACGCCAAUCGGAACCCCACUUUUGAAUUGUUUUUUUUUUCUUACUAAAAAUGCUGUUUAGGAACUGUAGUCUAUUUCUGGUAUAACACCAUAAAAUACCUUAUUAAUUAAGGAUUUAAAGGACUGAUUAUGUUUAAAUAUAUGUGGAACAAUAAACUGUUUAUAAAAACACUUAUAUCGCAUUUUUGUUGCUUAAAUAAAUCGAUGGUUUCCUUGGUUCUUCCAGUGUGCAUAUCUCCCGGAAAAAAAAAAUAUAUAUAUAUUUAUAUAUAUAUCCCGUUUAGAUAGGUCUUUUCUUUCUGCUGACUUUGCAUGUCAUCUGACUGCAACGGCUGAGGCUGUUCCUCCACCUGAUUUUCCCCGACUCCAUUGUAGAAAACUCGGCAGCGCGUUUAAGCGGAGCAAUCAACUUGUCCGGAAAAACAGACAGCCAGACAGACAGAGUAGAGGACCUACGGAGGCCUUGACAUUCAGGAAGAGAAUCAAUUAUUUUCGGAGAAAUUCUUUCCGCUGGCAGGAGAUUAAACUUAAACAAUCAGCUGAAAAAGUUUUGGAGUCGUUGUUGCCUUUGCUUUUUUUUUCAUUAUUUUUUACUUGCUCAACGUUCUCCACAAAAGAAGCCAAAUGAGCUUUUAAUUAGUCAGAGAAGAAGCCUUCGAUGUGCUGCUAAUCAACUUUUUCUAUGCAAAAAGAACUACAGAGAUUAAGAUUUAAUGAGAUAGACCACAAUAGAGAGCCAUCAGAAUGAAUAAAGGGGAAAACUGGAGAGAUAAAACCUGGAGACGAACUGUAAUUUUUUUGUUAUGCAGAUACGUGCAAUGGCCAUUUUUAAGCAGGAUGUUCUGGUGGCAGCUGCUCGUCAUCAUCGUUGAAUUGAAGUCAAUUGAUGAGGUUGCUGAUGCAUGUUGCAUAUUGAAACGCCCCAUGUUUUCCCCGAACUUACAACAGUGCCAUCGAAAGAGGCAUAUGAACACACUCCCUACUAAAAAACAACAGUUGAGACCAAAAUCGCCCAUUCCACAAUUCCUCAGAUGUCAUUUUGUCGGCAUGACUUUGAAGCAGGUUGUGCCCCCCUAUUUUUUCCGACUGCCUCAAGUGGGUGAAAGAAGUUUAAUUAGGCGCCCAAGAUAAAAGAGACGAAAAAAAUGUUCGAUUGUAUUGACAUGGUAAAAUAAUCUCGUAUAAAGUCUAGUAAAACAUGCCAAAAACUGUAA